CGAGUGGCGGACGGGUGAGUAAUGUCUGGGAAACUGCCUGAUGAGGGGGGAGUAACUACUGGAAACGGUAGCUAAUACCGCAUAACGUCGCAAGACCAAANAGGGGGACCUUCGGGCCUCUUGCCAUCGGAUGUGCCCAGAUGGGAUUAGCUAGUAGGUGGGGUAACGGCUCACCUAGGCGACGAUCCCUAGCUGGUCUGAGAGGAUGACCAGCCACAUUGGAACUGAGACACGGUCCAAACUCCUACGGGAGGCAGCAUG
RNAcentral lists this ribosomal RNA (261 nucleotides) under uncultured bacterium. RNAcentral describes it as "partial 16S ribosomal RNA". It matches the Rfam family "Bacterial small subunit ribosomal RNA", at positions 92 to 353 of the family's 1533-position model. The record is from RNAcentral.